UCAGCAGCAGCAGCAAAGGCAGCUAAGUACGGUACGUGCUGUGUGGGGCCCAUGGUCACUGCCCUGCAAAACCUGGUGGGAUGGUGAAACACAUCCCACAGUUUCUAUCCAGACACAGAACUGAUCCCUGUCCUGCCUCGCUCGGGCCUCUCCUGACGUGGCUGUGGAUGCUCCGCUCUUUGGGCCACAAUGAAAAGACAGAGCUGGAAGAGGCCCAACCUUUCACUGUUGCUGCAGUGAGAUCUGACUUCUCCCAUCUCCUCCCUGCAGGAGCUGGUGUUCCUGGCAUCGCUGGCGUUCCUGGCAUUGCCGGUGUUCCUGGAGUUCCUGGUGUUCCUGGUGUUCCUGGUGUUCCUGGAGUUCCCGGUGUUCCUGGUGUUCCUGGCGCUGUGCCCGGUGUUGGAGGUGAGCAGAUGGGCUGUGAGCAGCUGCUGCUGGGGGCAUGCUGGCCUGGGCAGUGCCCUGACUGUGUCCCUUGUGUCCCCACAGUGGGUGGCCCGGCAGCGGCGGCUGCAGCCAAGGCUGCGGCAAAAGCAGCGGCGAUCGGUGAGUCAGCACUGUCACCACCGUCACCACCGGCUGUCCCAGGGAGGGAGGAGGUGUGUUGGCACACAGGGGAGUUGGGGACACCCCGGUGCUGUGGAGGUCAGUGGGAUUCCUGCUGUGGAGUCUGUCCCCUGGGACACGUCCCUGAACCUCUCUGCAGGAGCAGGACGCGUGCCCGGCGUUGGCGUGCCCGGCGUUGGCGUGCCCGGCGUUGGCGUUCCCGGAGUGCGUGUGCCUGGAGUGGGUGUGCCUGGAGUGGGUGUGCCUGGUGCUGGCGUGCCCGGUUUGGUGCCCGGGGUCGGUGUUCCAGGAGGUCCGGCAGCCGCUGCCAAAGCCGCCGCCAAAGCAGCCAAGUACGGAGCAGGUGGCCUGGCUCCCGGCGUGGGUGGCCUGGCUCCCGGCGUGGGUGGCCUGGUUCCUGGAGUAGGUGGCCUGGUUCCUGGAGUAGGUGGCCUGGUUCCCGGUGUUGGAGGUGUCCCAGGUGUUGGAGGUCCAGCAGCAGCAGCCAAAGCAGCAGCCAAGGCAGCCAAAUUUGGUGCUGGGGCUGGAGGGGUGCCCGGUGUGGGCGGAGUGCCCGGAGUGACCCCCGGCGUUGGUGGCGUGCCCGGCUUGGUGCCAGGGGUGGGAGUACCUGGAACUGGCAUCCUUCCCGGGGCAGGCAUCCCCCAAGUAGGGGUGCAGCCCGGUGCUAAACCUCCCAAAUUCGGUACGUACCCCUGCCGUGCCCCUGCCCCAGGGCCACCUCGGACUGUCCCCGGGCACUCUCCUGCUGUGGCCAUCGGGGUGCUGACCUCUCCUCCUGUCCCCUGUGGGCCCACGGCACCCCGAUGGCGUGGGAAGUGGUGUGCUGUCACCCAUGGAUGCAAAGUGCCACCUGUACCCCUGCCCUGGACUUGCUGGGGACAGUUUUCCCCUUCAGGAGUCACACAGGGGCUGAAGCCCCUCUGGGUGCUGUGAGAUGGGUGCUGGGGACUCCCAGCAUGGGGGGCAAGGCCAGCCCGGCAGGUUGGGCGGUGCUGGGGGGUGCUCCGGGCUGGGGGGGACAGGCUGUGGGGGGACAGGUGCUAACGGUGUCUCUCUGGCAGGUGUUCCUGGGGUUGGAGUCCCAGGAGUUGGUGGCCUCCCAGGUGAGUGCUGGCAGUGGGGAUGUGCAGGCAGAGGAAUGCUUCCCUAGGGGUGUGGAGCUGGAGGAAUGCUUCCUCUGGGCAUGGGGAGAGCGGGGUGCCCCAGGAAGGACGGGCACACUUGGGACUGGCUGAGGAGCGGAGCAGACACUGCCCCACUGUCUGUCCCUGCUGGUGCUUACCCGGGCUACUCCUUGUAGGUGGCCUAGGAGUCGGUGGGCUCGGAGCUGGUGGCCUCGGUGAGUGAUGCUGGUUCUGGGUGCCAGGGCUGAGCUGCAGGGAGCAGCAGCAGCAGUGGAGAGCUGGCAGAGUGAUGGAAAGCAAAGGGAGUCUGUGGGUCACUUCUGUCCCCUUCCAGUCUCACAGUACAAUCCCACCCCACUCCUUGCCUUGUGCCCCGUCCUGUUUGCCACCUGCCGUGUUCCCAGGGAUUGCCAUUGCUGGGCAGGGACUGAGGGCCACAGCACCAGCCUUGCCCAUGCCGUGGGAACAGGGGAUGGUACAGUACCAUGUCCCCAGUGUGUGGAGAUUCAGGUCCCUCCUGGGACGCUCUGGGCCCCUCCUGAAGGGUCUGGCUGUGGCCCUGGGGCUGCACUGGUACCCCCCUCUGACACAGCACUCUUGUACCCAGGAGCCGCUGGGAAACCUCCCAAGCCAGGUAAGGGACAGCCAGAGGGGCUGGACGAGUGACUCCAGCCCCUGCUCCCAUCCACAUUGCCAUGGCUGUGCUCACGCUCCCCACCCUCACUGAGCCUCACCCACCUGCAGCUUUUGGUGCUGGGGGGCUGCAGCCAGGUGAGUGCUGCAGUUUGGGGCUGGUGUGGGAGCGUGUCCCCUACCCUGCCACACCGGUCCCCGCUUGCUGCCAUUCCCUGCUGGCACACGGCUGCCUGGGAGAGCGCUGGGAAGCCAGAGGGGUGCCAGGGUGGGGACGGCAGCUUUUGCAUCAGCGCCUGUCCCUGGAGUAAGCGAGGGAUCCCAGGCGAGCUGUCCCCGCUCCACGUUAGGGUGGCACUGCUGUCACUGGCUGUCACCGGCUGUUGCUUUUUCCCCAGGGGUUGGAGUUCCCGGCUUCGGCGUAUCACCGAUAUUUCCAGGUACCACCCCCAGCUCGGCACCUCAGCGCACAGCCGGGACAUGGCCGGUUCAUGGGGCACGGGCCGGGGAGGGACCCCCGGGGCCGGGGAGAGACCCCCGGGGCUGAGGAGAGACCCCCGGGGCUGAGGAGAGACCCCCGGGGCUGAGGAGAGACCCCCGGGGCCGGGGAGAGACCCCCGGGGCUGAGGAGAGACCCCCGGGGCCGGGGAGGGACCCCCGGGGCUGUGGGACAGACAAAUUGGGGUGCCUCGUGCGUGCUGAGGGCUUCGCUCUCCUUUCAGGUGGGGUCGGCGGCCUGGGAUUUGGCGGUGAGUAGCCAUCGCCCCGGCACGGCGUUUUGGGGUGGGGGUGCGGGGGUCCUGCUCAUUCCUGCUCAUUCCGCUCCGCCUUCCCCCUGCAGGGAAGCCCCCCAAGCCCUACGGAGGAGCCCUGGGUGCCCUGGGCUUUAGAGGUGAGCGCGUUUCCCGGCUGGCAGGGCCGGUUGUGCCCCCGGCCGUGCCCCCGGCAGUGCGGGCUGCGGGGUGCGGGCUGCGGGGUGCGGGGUGCGGGCUGCGGGCAGGGCUCACCCCGCGUUCCGUGCAGGCGGAGCGGGCUGUGCGGCAGGGAAGUACUGCGGCAGGAAGCGGAAGUAACGCUCCGUCACCGAUCACCUCAUGAACUUUGGUGCUACUGCAUGGUCCAGAAUGUAAAUCCGAAGCAAAGCUGAGACACCCCCUCCUCAGGCCCCGGAACCCCCCCCCGUCCAUGCCGGGGCCGUGCCCGGCCCCGCGUUCCACGGAGGGACCCCGCGUUCCCCGGCAGCGUCCGGGGCCCCCCGGCCCUCGGUCCCGGCAGGGAGCGCGGAAUAAAGUGCGGGGAGCAGCCGUCCCCCUUGGUGCU
RNAcentral lists this long non-coding RNA (3647 nucleotides) under Parus major (Great Tit). RNAcentral's name for it is "lncRNA (ENSPMJG00000018864.1)". Lineage: Eukaryota; Metazoa; Chordata; Aves; Passeriformes; Paridae. The record is from RNAcentral.